RNAcentral lists this ribosomal RNA (551 nucleotides) under Bifidobacterium longum. RNAcentral describes it as "bacterial SSU rRNA". It matches the Rfam family "Bacterial small subunit ribosomal RNA", at positions 146 to 711 of the family's 1533-position model. The record is from RNAcentral. Lineage: Bacteria; Bacillati; Actinomycetota; Actinomycetes; Bifidobacteriales; Bifidobacteriaceae.
UCUCCUGGAAACGGGUGGUAAUGCCGGAUGCUCCAGUUGAUCGCAUGGUCUUCUGGGAAAGCUUUCGCGGUAUGGGAUGGGGUCGCGUCCUAUCAGCUUGACGGCGGGGUAACGGCCCACCGUGGCUUCGACGGGUAGCCGGCCUGAGAGGGCGACCGGCCACAUUGGGACUGAGAUACGGCCCAGACUCCUACGGGAGGCAGCAGUGGGGAAUAUUGCACAAUGGGCGCAAGCCUGAUGCAGCGACGCCGCGUGAGGGAUGGAGGCCUUCGGGUUGUAAACCUCUUUUAUCGGGGAGCAAGCGAGAGUGAGUUUACCCGUUGAAUAAGCACCGGCUAACUACGUGCCAGCAGCCGCGGUAAUACGUAGGGUGCAAGCGUUAUCCGGAAUUAUUGGGCGUAAAGGGCUCGUAGGCGGUUCGUCGCGUCCGGUGUGAAAGUCCAUCGCUUAACGGUGGAUCCGCGCCGGGUACGGGCGGGCUUGAGUGCGGUAGGGGAGACUGGAAUUCCCGGUGUAACGGUGGAAUGUGUAGAUAUCGGAAAGAAACACCA